GACGAACGCUGGCGGCGUGCUUAGCACAUGCAAGUCGAACGGAAAGGCCCUGCUUUUGUGGGGUGCUCGAGUGGCGAACGGGUGAGUAACACGUGAGUAACCUGCCCUUGACUUUGGGAUAACUUCAGGAAACUGGGGCUAAUACCGGAUAGGAGCUCCUGCUGCAUGGUGGGGGGUGGAAAGUUUCGGCGGUUGGGGAUGGACUCGCGGCUUAUCAGCUUGUUGGUGGGGUAGUGGCUUACCAAGGCUUUGACGGGUAGCCGGCCUGAGAGGGUGACCGGCCACAUUGGGACUGAGAUACGGCCCAGACUCCUACGGGAGGCAGCAGUGGGGAAUAUUGCACAAUGGGCGGAAGCCUGAUGCAGCAACGCCGCGUGCGGGAUGACGGCCUUCGGGUUGUAAACCGCUUUCGCCUGUGACGAAGCGUGAGUGACGGUAAUGGGUAAAGAAGCACCGGCUAACUACGUG
Molecule: ribosomal RNA, 468 nt
Filed under: uncultured bacterium
Lineage: Bacteria
Description: partial 16S ribosomal RNA
Rfam family: Bacterial small subunit ribosomal RNA
Source: RNAcentral